Microcebus murinus (gray mouse lemur) is the source of this 1395-nucleotide non-coding RNA. The record is from RefSeq and is a predicted model, not a curated record. Lineage: Eukaryota; Metazoa; Chordata; Mammalia; Primates; Cheirogaleidae.
GGGAGCCCCGCCCAGCCCCGCCCCCACGCCCACACCCGUGGCCCAUGGUGCCCCUAACUGUCGAGAUGUGCCCAGGGAGCAGGGGCGACAGUAAGCACCAGGAAGGGCCCUUCCGGUUGUGGUUUCCUGAAAGACGGAGGGGAGACCUGGAGGGGAACCCUAGACGGGGCUUCCUGUGUGCUGGGAAUAAAACAGGCCGAGAGGAAGAACAGGGACGGACAGAAACCCUCUGCCUCCUGACCCGCCCUGGUGCUUCUCCAUGAGGUCCCUCGUGGUGGUGUGCAUGGCCCCCUCCGCCUGGAUCUCACACCACUGCCCACACAGUAAGUGUGCAAUAGACACUUGAAUGAAGGAAGGAAUGGAUGAGCAUUCGGUCGGCUACCAACGUGAGCUUGCUGCAAACGGAGGGAGCCCCUCCCUCGGCACCAGCACCCCCUACCUAGCCAAGGGUCGCCUGGCCCUAUUGACGGCCUCCAGGUCAGCAUAGCGCAGGUCCAGCUGGCAGCCCACCAGGAUGACAGCUAAGAAAAAUCAUAUCAGGCGGCAGAGCUGGGACUUGAACCAGACCUCCUGGCACGGAGCCCUGGCUCCUUUCACCACCCCAGGCUGCCCCAGCCCCUGCAAGUGUGGACCAGAGCUGUUUUCUCCACUCCUUCCUCCCCACUGAAAUUUCACAAGGUUGCUCAGUUCUUGGGAAGGUGUCCCAGAGGCGCAGGGAGACGCUGACAUCAUCUACCACGUCUCGGGAGCGUUCCAGCACCUGGAGAAUGAAGCACAACAGUUCCUGGGUCCCCUGCGUGGCAGCCCACUGCGUGCCUCACACAACAUCUCAUCCACGGGAAAUCUCUAUAGCAUCAACAAAGGCUGCUUCCAAGCUGACCGGAAGUGAAAGAGACCCUAAGAGAGUAGAUGGUUACGGGGUGCAAGGGACCUCUUCCGGAGCCUACUCUUGUUCCCAGCUUUCCCUGCAAAUUGGAUGUUUACGAGCCUCUGGUCUUUUAGUAUUAGCUGCCAGCUUCCUUCUUUUGCUCUCCCAAGCCCCAGCCCCACGCACUGCUCCCUGUUACUUGGGGCUAGGAUUGCACAAGGUGUAGUACCCAAGACACAGCUGGGGUCCCCAGUGAAAUAAAAAAAACGGUCAGAGAAACCCCCCCCCCAGGGUGGGCUAGCUUCAGACCUCUCUCCAGGGGCUCCUUCCUCUUCAGCUGCCCCUCCAACCCCAGGGGCCUCUGGAGACCCCAAGCUGUGGCUUGGGAAGAAGCCCCCCAAGUCCAGAUGUGCAGCUGGACCCCCAGCCUUACCUCCUGGCACACACGGUACUGGUCGAUGGCCCACACUGUGGGCACGUGGGUGGCCAGCAGCUGGUACUGGGUGAGGGUGGCAUUGCAGGCACGG